GUACGGGAGGCAGCAGUGGGGAAUAUUGCGCAAUGGCCGAAAGGCUGACGCAGCGACGCCGCGUGGGGGAUGAAGCAUUUCGGUGUGUAAACCCCUGUUGCUCGGGACGAACAAGCGGCUUUGGCCGCUCUGACGGUACCGGGUGAGGAAGCACCGGCUAACUCCGUGCCAGCAGCCGCGGUAAUACGGAGGGUGCGAGCGUUGUCCGGAAUCACUGGGCGUAAAGGGCGCGUAGGCGGUCUGUUAAGCGUGCGGUGAAAGCCUGGGGCUCAACCCCAGGUCUGCCGUGCGAACUGGUGGACUAGAGCACUGUAGAGGCAGGUGGAAUUCCGGGUGUAGCGGUGGAAUGCGUAGAGAUCCGGAAGAACACCGGUGGCGAAGGCGGCCUGCUGGGCAGUAGCUGACGCUGAGGCGCGACAGCGUGGGGAGCAAACAGGAUUAGAUACCCGUGUAGUC
RNAcentral lists this ribosomal RNA (456 nucleotides) under uncultured bacterium. Its description in RNAcentral is "bacterial SSU rRNA". It matches the Rfam family "Bacterial small subunit ribosomal RNA", at positions 339 to 795 of the family's 1533-position model. The record is from RNAcentral.